CAUAAAGUAAAAAAUAUUGCCGCGUUUUCGCAAAUCAAGUGUACCAAGUAUCCCCAGUUCCCCUAAAUAACAUGUGUGUGCCUAACCUGAUAACGUUAACAUUUCAAUGAGUGUAGUGGUAGUGGUCAAUUGACAGAUAAAUACUAAAGACACGCGAAUUUUGCAGCCAUUAAGUUUCUGGACAAGAACGUGAGUGCACUUCAACUAAUUAUUCGCCAUGUUGAAGCCAACAUUAACGCUGCUGUUGUUGGGCCUGCUCUGCCUCAGCCUUGUCACCGCUCGCCCACAACCCGACUCUUCGCCCGACAACGACGAGCAACCAUCAGCCGGCUCGCAUUCUAGUAAAUCUGACAGUAAUAACCGCGACUGUAAAUUUCUUAUCUUCUGUAAUGAUGGAGCUUUAAUUCAGUGGGGUAAUAAUAAUUCAGGAUAGUAAAAAGUUGUUUCCAUUAUCUAACAAAACAAAAAUGCCGUUGUAUUGUCAGGUUUCUCGAAACGAUUUAUAUAUAAAUGUAUAAAUAUAUUACAUUAUAUCAAGAAAUUACUUUGUAUGGUAUGAAGAAAACAUGAUCUGAUUAUAUAUGUUUCGUCUUCUUAAUAAACAUGAUAAAAACUUA
Long non-coding RNA from Cydia pomonella (codling moth), 617 nucleotides. RefSeq lists it as uncharacterized. The record is from RefSeq and is a predicted model, not a curated record. Lineage: Eukaryota; Metazoa; Arthropoda; Insecta; Lepidoptera; Tortricidae. The transcript is spliced from 2 exons.